GCUGUAUGCGUGGACUACAACUAAAAUAAAUAUUUAAAAAAAAAAAAANNNNNNNNNNNNNNNNNNNNNNNNNNNNNNNNNNNNNNNNNNCUUGACCAAGGAUUCAGUACUUCCCGCAUUAGAUUGCUUUCCUCCCGCACUUCCUAAUUCUGAUAAUUAACAAAAUCUUCCGUGCAGUUCCUUCUAUACAUGUAAUACAAUUAAAAAAGAAGAAAAGAAAAGAAAAGAAAAGAAAGAAAGAAAGAAAGAAAGAAAGAAAGAAAGAAAGAAAGAAAGAAAGAAAGAAAGAAAGAAAAAGAAANAACGAAGAGGGGUGCCUGGCUGGCUCAGCCGGUGGAGCAGGCCGCACUCGUGAUCUUGGGGCUGUGAGAGGGAGCCCCACGCUGGGGGUAGAGAUCAUUUAAAAAAAAUGUUUUUUUAUUUUUAAAAAUAUAGUAUAAAUAAUGCAGCGUUUUCUAAGGGAGUUUGCGUCCAACCAGUAUCUCAAGAGCUUAGAAAGGGUUGGGUCUGCUUCCGAUUCACUGAGCAAGCAUCAAUCCUGCAGCCACCUCCCGGCUCCCAGGUUGGAGCGGCGGCUCCCAGCAGGGCCCGCAGCAGCGGGUGCGUCUGGGAGGAAAGGGGUGGCAACCGGGGGCGGGGGCAGGUCCCCACGACCGCAGCGGCGGGAGCGCGCGGCGCCGGAGGAGUUGCCAGGUGCCGGGGGCGGUGUCUGCCAGGCUGACGGGGUCCAGAAGCCUCGUAAGAAGGCUUGGCGGGUGCUCCCAGAGAGAGGCGGAGGGGCCCCGAGGGGGCGGCCGGGGAGCGCGCGGUGGGCCGCGGCCCGCGCCCAGAGCCGUUGCUGCACACCUGGGCGCUGAACCGCCGCGGGGGGCGGGGGCGGGGGGCUGCGCCGGGGGAGGGGAAGAAGGGAUGGGCCAAGUCGCUGGGGGACGGCGGGGUCCCCGCAAUAAGUCGCCCCCGCACCCAGUGACAUCUCCAGCUCCACAACGCCUCUCCUCGAUCCGCACUGGAAGCCCCCUCCUUCCCUCGCACAAGGCGGGUGAAAGGCCCCGCGGGUCCCUUAGUCUCACUUACCUGCGACCCAGGACCCAACCUGAACACCUGCGGCACCUCACGCUGAGGACCUGGAACCCUCCUCGGCCACCUGCGCGCACCCACCCGGAUCCACUAGGGCCGAAACCACUUCCGGUCCUGCGGCGGGCUGGAGGACGUAAACCUAGCAGGGAGGUACGCAUGGGCGGCGCCAUGUCGUACGGAAGCUGCUGGGCCAGCUGUUCCCUCCCCAGUUUCUCCACUGCUGAACAAAGGAUUUGGAGAACAUGUGAAAGAAUGGAUUCUUUUUUUCCAGGAAGAAAAUAAACAAGGAAGACAAUCUAACACCAGAUUCAGUUGAAUUAUUAACCAAUUCAAUUCAAUUGAUGAGCACUUUUACCACAAUUCUAGAGUUAAUGUGCUAGCUUGUGUGGCUGGAAAUGGCUCUAAUGGUUGAUUGAAACUUUAAGUAGUGGCCUACAUUCAAUGAAGUUGAGAUGCAAGAACUUGCUGGUAUGACUUAAAAGAAGGAAUUCAAGAUCUUAAGGAGAUAGAAAUGUUGGAGUAGAUCUAUCAUGUAUGUAUUGCCACUCCCUCACUAUUUCAGAGGAUACUCUCUCCACUAAGGCAUUGAGAAAUAAAUUGGUGGUUGGGCACCA
Vulpes vulpes (red fox) is the source of this 1691-nucleotide long non-coding RNA. NCBI's taxonomy places the organism in Eukaryota, Metazoa, Chordata, Mammalia, Carnivora, Canidae. The record is from Ensembl.